This is a long non-coding RNA of Thalassophryne amazonica, 3950 nucleotides long. RefSeq lists it as uncharacterized. Lineage: Eukaryota; Metazoa; Chordata; Actinopteri; Batrachoidiformes; Batrachoididae. The record is from RefSeq and is a predicted model, not a curated record. The transcript has 3 exons.
UUUUCAGCCCCUUCUUUUUGAUAUUUCAAUUUGGCAUUUAUAAAGAAAACUGACAGUCUUCCUGAGAGAAAGCAAAUUAAAUGUCCACGUACGUAAUGCACUUAAACACAGAAAUAACAUGGCAGUUAGUAAAAAAGGACAGAAUGUUUGGAGGCAUAUAUAAGCAGUUGUAUAUUUCCAAAGUAAUCUUCUAAAUUGUUAGCGAUGCUAUGUCUGGAACAACUUGCAAGGAUUUUUAUUACAAACCAAGAUACUGCGUUUUCCCACUAAUUAGCUCCAAACUACUCUCCAUUUUCCAGGUUCCUGUGAACAUCACGUUACAUACCAAAUGCUGGGAUAUUAUUAGGAAACAGUGUGGAACCCAUCAAAUAAGAGCUUAUUUUUCGUUUAAAUCUCAACAUGCUGCAUUUGGUUCCACACGAUGCUUAAAUGGAAACUUAUUUACAUCUUUGUUGCUGUCUCCACAGCAUGUAAAAAACAAAAAGAAUCCUCUCCAAAGUGACUGGAGUCCUUGGUGACUGGUACUCCAUAAUUGGCUGCCUGCAUGAACAUCAUUCAGGCUAACGAGAGAGCGGGCAGGAGCUUCUGCUGCUGCCCGCGCGAACACACACACACACACACACACACACAGAUUUUUUUCAAAAUCUCCUCUGUACACAUUUUUAAACUCAAGAACAACUGCCACCCACACGCUCCAGUACGAUUACUCAAGAGAGAAAAGAUGCAGUGAUUUGUGUUUUUUCAGUUUGGUUUGAAGAAGUCGAGCAAAAGAGAUUUAAAGAAAUAAAAGCAGCUGAACGUCUGAUGUAAAGCAUCGUGCCUGAAGAUAUUCACGUAUUUAACAGGAAGCAGGUUUCAGCCCCCCCACAUCCUCGACCUUCAUCACUACGGAACAAAGUAAUUGAUACCACGCGUGUUGAUUAAACUUUCUUCUGCUGACAAACACCCCGAGUAGGCGGUUAAUCUUUCUAAAAGGGGACAUUUACGAAUUAGGGGGCGGAGACAGAAAACACCUAUAGUUUCACUUCCAUUCCAAAAUUAUUUUCGACACUGCACAAAACGUGUGUUCACAGUCGCAGUUUUGCACUGCUUACCGCCCCAAAACUGGCUGUGGUGCUACGGAAAAAACCCUUAAUGCUAAAGAUAGCAUUUGACAGCUCACGCGUCUUUUUGUAUUAUUAUUAGUGUCAUUGCUAGCAUCAUCACUGCACUCCUCAACUGAUUGGCUGCUCCUUCAGAAGUAAUUGCUGUCUUUGAUCGAAGUUCAAUGAAUGAUGUUUGAAAGCGGUACGCCUCUAUGGCGUGCACUGCUAGCAAGGAGAAACGCAAAUUUAACGGCGACAAUGCGAACACAACCCCGCAAUCUAAAUGUGAACCACAACAAAACAGCAGAGAAAAUUGGAACUCGAAUUUAACAUCAGUUGUGAAAUACUGUUGAAUUUCUACUCGGAAGACCUACGAUGCUAUGCUAACAGGCUAAAAAUUAGUGGCUUCUUCUACGCUGCUCUUUCUGGCAUUGAAUGUUGCACUGCCCCCAGUGGCGAACUACAGGUAACCCUCUGUGCACAUCCAGAAGUAAGAGUCAGUGUGUUUCACAUGGUUCAUUUGCACAAACUCACCAAAAACAGGAACUCUUAUUUAUGACUUUGUACUCUUGAGUUCCGGCUUUGUUUCCCCACUAACAAUAAGGCAACACACAGUCUUAAUUAAUAACUGGAUAAUCAAUGUCAAGUUUGAGCUGUUUGUAUAACAAACACUUGGCAGAAAUGUAAAAAAACUAAAACCCAAAAGAUUUCUGUCUUCUCAAAGGAUCGCAGCAGAAUUUGAUGUCACAAACUGGGACGAUAUCUCACGUCUCCGCAAUCAGGCACAACUUUAAAAAAAAGCCCAUGUAUACAGAAUAAAACCCACCAAAAAACACAGGUGUUUAAAAUGUUGAUUGCAAGAGAAGAACUCACACAUCAUGACAGAGGAAGGAAACCUUACAGACUUUGAGAUUAAGUGUAUUUUUUUUUUUUGUUGUUGCUGCAGAGCAGCAGAUUGUGAAUGUUUACAAAACCGAUCAAACAAGCAGCAACUCUCCCAUUUCGAAUGGAACAAAAGCAGUUUGCUCCUUCACGCACCAGGUUGGCUGGCAGAGUUCCACACAUGGAUCUAACGGUUUUUUAUGGGUGGAAUUUUCCAUGUAACUAAGGUUCAAUAAAUUUGGAAUGACCACCAAGUCAGAUAUAAUUUAGCAAAUACACUUUCAGCCACUGCACAGUAAAACCUGGACACAUCUUCAUCCCACUAAGACUGUUACAAAAGGGUAUAUAACUGUUGAUGCUGCUAUCAAUAAUUAGUAAUUAUUAUUCUUGCAGCCAUACAAACUGGGAAUUGUUGAUGAAUCGCGGUUUUAUCGUGUUUUAUAUUAUGAUACUGGCCGGUCCAAAGAGAAACUGAGUGAGGACAGCGUUUCGACUUUUACAGGAACUGUGUCCAGCACAUUAGUAGCCUGUAACUGCAACAGUCAUGACUGAUUUGUACUCCAUAAAUAUCAGAAGGUGUAAACGACAAUACUGAGUCAGAAUAAAAUAGAUAUUUUUGUGGCCAGUUUGGAGCCUUUCGUAUGUGAUCAAAUAAAAUUAACUAAAAAGGGAAAAAAACAGACGGCUAAUCCUAUAUAGGCCCUGAGGCUCGCUGGUGCCUGUGCUUAUCUUGGAUAUUGCUGAGUAAUGGAGACCCUUUAGAUGGGACUCCAGUCCAUCACAGGUCACUUCGCCAGCCAAGGCUGAUACCCGUUUACAGCUGGGUGGAGUGGAACAACGUAGUGUUGAAGUGGCCUAAAUUAAUUUGAAUCUGAGCUUACAAAUUCGAUCACUGAUGGACAGUGUCGUGCAAAAAUCCAUAAAGACGCUGCAAACAAUGAAAAACUCUGAAAUAUAAAAUAGCUUUCGAUAAAGUGCUCAUCGCAAAAGCGUAACUGAUAAAUAUCUGGUGUGACUACCAUUUACCUUCAAACUGAAUUCAACUGAAGGUUUUAUAAGAUCAUGUUGAUCAGUUCAUUAUUGAAAAUUUCCUCUGUGGAAUCAGUUUUCGGGUUGCAAAGCUACAAAAAAAUCCAUCACCUGAAAAAGACAAUCUUUAAUAUUCUCGACAAAAUUUGUCAUUUGUUCUUAUGAUUAGUAUUUUUGGACUUACAUUUACACAAAAAAGGGGCAUCUUCAUGGAUGAACGAUUGGUUUUUGCACAAUACUUCAUAGGGGUGGAAUGUACUACCUCCACGAUACGAUAUACCCAUCUUGAUUCCAUAUUUAUCACCAUACAUGGUUAUAUUGUUCUUCAAUUAUGUAGAAAGUGAUUUGUGGUGAAUCUUUAUAGAAACAAAUUAUUCUUAAGUAUAACUUAUAAUCCUUGAUGCUAUUUGUUUGCUGUCUGCAUAUGGUAUUUUAUAAAUCAUUUAUGGUUCUUCUGCAAGAUGUUAUUUCUUCCAGGCAGUAAUGCCUUUUUAUGGUAUCGCGAUACUCAUUAAAAAAAGAUACAAUUUGAUACAGACCCUACAACGCAAUUAUCAAAAUACACUGUGUAUCAUCGUACCACUUGUACUUUGUGUUUGCUUCAUAUAAUCAACAAUUCCAUACAAAUUACUUGGCAUUACUCUGAAAUUACACCACCUUUUGAAAACUAAAUCUGGAUUUCUUCCUUCAAGAAACACUCCUGAGAUGAGCUGGAUGUCCUGUGCCCCCAGGAGGAGGCGUCAGUUUCGGAAUUUAAUGGUAAUUUGAUGUUAUUCCUGACCCAGUAUUCGUGCGUUUGGAUUUUCUAUGUAAGUGCAUUAAUUCCAACUAUUUUUCCAUUAUAAAUAUGUGGGUUUCGGGUUGGUUUGUACCUGAAUUAGUCUGAAUUAGUGGCUCUCUGGUUCUUACUGUGCUUUAAGUGUGUGCACACGUGUUGUGAGGUAGUCCCAAGUU